GCAUGUUCUUCAAACCCUUUAAAUUGCCCUAAAAAUCAGUGACUACUCCCGUAAAAUCAUCCAAACUUCAUUCCCAUUUCUUUUUCUCCUAACAAGUAGGGUUUAUAAGCCCCUGUACCGUAUUGUGUGGUGGGGUAAUCACUCUGUAUUUUUCCUCCCAUGUACCAUAAUAAAUUUAUGUGACUUUUCUUCUAUUUAUCUGCUUUUGUCAGUUGUUUUUCAGUGACCCUCCAGAGGACUAAAGGAAAGUUUUGCUUCGCCCCUACAGUUUUGGCACUGUGAGCAGUAUACCAAAACUACUCCACCCUUCCGAAAGCCACAGUGAAGAAAACCCAAGGCCUGACAAGCCAGCAGAAGUGCAAAAAAGUUUUACCAAUCAGGUCAUUAGCCUCUAGCUCUGUGGAAUCUGGUUGAGUUCAUGAUAACAAAGGUCAGCUUGAACACUUGAAGGCUGUGAAAACACUCACCACUGUGGGAUAAGACUCUUGUGAUGAACGGGCUGAUCACAGAAUGGGACAAUUGGCACUGGUCACUUACCAGCCUCAGGAAAACAUUAUUGUAGUGAUGUACACUGUAGAAACAUUGCAUGGUUCAGUCCUACGGUGUUUCCCACUUUUGGAGACCUGGGACUCAGUGUAAAAAAAUGGAAUCCUUGAGUUUGAAGAAUUUAGAUGUUCUCCCUUCCAGCAAUGCCUGUUUUUCCCAUAUACAAACAUUAGGCCUUAAUAAGUACAAAAUGUUUUUUGGUGUGUGCUAUUCAUUGAUGCACUAUACUCUGAGCUCAUUAGUCCAGUUUGCAAAACGAAGACUAAAUUAGAAGCUACCUAUACAAAUGAAAUGGAUCUCCAUAUAAAGUCCUAUGUUAAAUUCCUAUAAUUUUGUUUUAUCUUAUCAUUCAUUUUUAUUCUUCCACUAACAAACUCAAGUUCUUCCUUUUAAAAACCUUAAAUUCUCUUUCCGUGUUUUGAAAUGUAAAUUUACUACCUUGUUUUUUUCUCAAACUCAGUAAGGCCUCUGGCCAUGUGGAACAGACAAACUUGUUUCAUUUAUAGAUUCGCAAUUUAAGCCAACUGUCCUUUUAAAUGGCAAAUUGUACAUGUCUCAUGGCUAUAGAUUUAAAAUAAAAGGUGUAAGAUUUUUAUUUUGCCUGUCUGUAUUUUUAUGUAUACAUGUGUAUACAUAUCUAUAUAUUGUCUACAUUGACUUAUAUGAGUAAUCAUAAAUUAAAUAACUAGCCCA
Molecule: long non-coding RNA, 1239 nt
Filed under: Homo sapiens (human)
Lineage: Eukaryota; Metazoa; Chordata; Mammalia; Primates; Hominidae
Description: HSALNT0284488
Source: RNAcentral